UACGGAGGGUGCAGGCGUUAUCCGGAUUCACUGGGUUUAAAGGGUGCGUAGGUGGGCAGUUAAGUCAGUGGUGAAAUCUCCGGGCUCAACCCGGAAACUGCCAUUGAUACUAUCUGUCUUGAAUAUCGUGGAGGUAAGCGGAAUAUGUCAUGUAGCGGUGAAAUGCUUAGAUAUGACAUAGAACACCAAUUGCGAAGGCAGCUUACUACCCGAAUAUUGACACUGAGGCACGAAAGCGUGGGGAUCAAACAGG
RNAcentral lists this ribosomal RNA (253 nucleotides) under uncultured bacterium. Its description in RNAcentral is "partial 16S ribosomal RNA". It matches the Rfam family "Bacterial small subunit ribosomal RNA", at positions 524 to 776 of the family's 1533-position model. The record is from RNAcentral.